UGGGAACCUCUGUGUCGCUGCCAACGAUCAUCCUCCAAAUCUUCAAAAUCAUUCAAGACUUAGAACUCCACCACCUCCAAUAUCACAUGCUCACACCCCAAAUCAACACCACGCAGCGUCCAUCAACUCCCUAAACAGAGGGAACUUCACUCCUCGCAGCAACCCCAGCCCAGCUCCUACAGACCACUCUCUUUCUGGAGAACAACCAGCCAGCACUCAAGAGCCAGCCCAUGCUCAGGACAACUGGUUACUUAACAGUAACAUCCCACUGGAGACUAGAAACAUAGCAAAGCAGACAUUCCUAGAGACAUUGCAGGACAACCUCAUUGAGAUGGA
Molecule: long non-coding RNA, 336 nt
Organism: Apus apus (common swift)
Lineage: Eukaryota; Metazoa; Chordata; Aves; Apodiformes; Apodidae
Exons: 3
Source: RefSeq, a predicted model, not a curated record